RNA transcript from Setaria italica (foxtail millet), 1198 nucleotides. It is a transcript of the gene named basic proline-rich protein, with no coding region annotated. NCBI's taxonomy places the organism in Eukaryota, Viridiplantae, Streptophyta, Magnoliopsida, Poales, Poaceae. The record is from RefSeq and is a predicted model, not a curated record. The transcript has 4 exons.
CCUCAGACUCAAAUCGACGGCUCCUCCCUUCUCGGAUUCCUUUCACCUCUACAUUUCUUUCCUCCGAGAUCCAGAUAACCGCCGGCGAGAUGCUCCCCUGCCGCCCCUGCAUCGAGCGCUAUCCACCUCGCGCCCCCUCGCCUGUCCAUUCCGCCGCCCACACCAGCGCCUCCUCCCGCCGCUCCCAUCCAGCGCCUCCUCCCGUCGCCCCUACAGCGCCUCCUCCCGUCGCCCCUACAGCGCCUCCUCCCCGUCGCCCUCUCCAGCACCCGUACGCCGGCGCCCCCUCCAGCGCCUCCUCCGGCGCCCCUUGGGGGCCCGUAUGCCGGCGCCCCUUGGGCCUGGACGCUGGCGCGCCGCCAGGGCCCGUGGCCGGCGCAGCCGGCGCCUCUGCCUCGCACACGUCUUCCUCCCUGCAACGAGCCACCCCCCGGAAUUGGGAUGAUGGGGCGGGAGCACCUCCACAACCUCGCCCACCUCACCACCGAGGUCGACGGGGAGCAGUCCGUCAAGGUGCGGGUCACCGGCCUCGCCGACCCCCACCAGGAGUCCCUCCGCCUCAGCCUCCAGCUCGCCAACGAGCUCGGCCUCCCCGCUCCACAGCUGAUAGAUAUCGUUAAGAGUGGUACACUACGGCAAGUCAGAAUGGUGGCCAUACGUGAACACCGUUUUCCUUUCCUUGUUAAGGUAAACAACUAGAACAGGUUCAACUGCAACAGUGGGGGAACACUGGUAGAGAAGUGCUGCCAUUUCUUUGAUUUGAUGAGAUUGUUUGCAGCUGCAAAUCCAGUUCGUGUGGUGGCUUCUGGAGCCAUUGAUGUAAACCACAAGGAUGAAAUGUAUGAUGGAAAGAAACUACUAGAAGGUUUUGGGAAUACAAGAAGGCCCUCAACCUUAAGCUAAAGCAAAGUUAAAUAUCAUGAAUGGUUGGAGUGAUCAAGAUUAAAGAUGCGUACGAAUAAUAUAGGUUUUUCUAAUAUUUUUAUUAUUGGGAGUGAUGGAUGAAUGGACAAGAGUUCUUAUAUAUGCAUACGAAUAAUAUAGGUUUUCUAGAAUUUUCAUUAUUGGGAGUGAUGUGGAUGAAUGGACAAGAGUUACUUUCAUAUGUCGAAUAUUCUAUUUUAUCAUGAAUGGUGUGUAUGAAUGAUGUAUUGAUUUAAUUAAUGAUAUAUAUAUAUAUAUAUAUAUGUGGCAUCAA